GCGAUCAUACCAGCACUAAUGCACCGGAUCCCAUCAGAACUCCGAAGUUAAGCGUGCUUCCCAUCAGAACUCCGAAGUUAAGCGUGCUUGGGCGAGAGCAGUACUAGGAUGGGUGAUCCCCUGGGAAGUCCUCGUGUUGCACCU
RNAcentral lists this ribosomal RNA (144 nucleotides) under Zingiber officinale. The record is from RNAcentral. Lineage: Eukaryota; Viridiplantae; Streptophyta; Magnoliopsida; Zingiberales; Zingiberaceae.